RNAcentral lists this ribosomal RNA (446 nucleotides) under uncultured bacterium. Its description in RNAcentral is "partial 16S ribosomal RNA". It matches the Rfam family "Bacterial small subunit ribosomal RNA", at positions 338 to 795 of the family's 1533-position model. The record is from RNAcentral.
CCUACGGGAGGCUGCAGUCGAGAAUCAUUCACAAUGGGGGAAACCCUGAUGGUGCAACGCCGCGUGGGGGAAUGAAGGUCUUCGGAUUGUAAACCCCUGUCAUGUGGGAGCAAAUUCAGAAGAUAGUACCCCAAGAGGUAGAGACGGCUAACUCUGUGCCAGCAGCCGCGGUACUACCGAGGUCUCAAGCGUUGAUCGGAAUCACUGGGCGUAAAGCGUGCGUAGGCUGUUUCGUAAGUCGGGUGUGAAAGGCGCGGGCUCAACCCGCGGACUGCACAUGAUACUGCGAGACUAGAGUAAUGGAGGGGGAACCGGAAUUCUCGGUGUAGCAGUGAAAUGCGUAGAUAGCGAGAGGAACACUCGUGGCGAAGGCGGGUUCCUGGACAUUAACUGACGCUGAGGCACGAAGGCGAGGGGAGCGAAAGGGAUUAGAUACCCUUGUAGUC